GCCAGCAGCCAUAUCACCCUGCAGCUCUCAAGUGGCUACCCACUGAAGCUAAGCAGGGUUGAGCGUGGUCAGUACCUGGAUGGGAGACCUCCUGGGAAGCUAUGGCUGCUGCUGGAA
Ribosomal RNA from Lepisosteus oculatus (spotted gar), 117 nucleotides. Lineage: Eukaryota; Metazoa; Chordata; Actinopteri; Semionotiformes; Lepisosteidae. The record is from Ensembl.